CCUACGGGCGGCAGCAGUGGGGAAUAUUGCGCAAUGGUCGUAAGAGUGACGCAGCGACGCCGCGUGAAUGACGAAGGCCUUCGGGUCGUAAAGUUCUUUCGACAGGGAAGAAAAUGCCUAUAAGUGACUGUGUAUGUAUUGACGGUAACUGUAUAAGCAGCCCCGGCUAACUCCGUGCCAGCAGCCGCGGUGAGACGGCGGGGGCGAGCGUUGGUCGGAGUUAUUGGGCGUAAAGGGCACGUAGGCGGUGUUGUAAGUCAUGAGUCAAAGCCCAGGGCUCAACUUUAGUAAGGCUAGUGAUACUAUAAUACUAGAGUAUAAGAGAGGAUUGCAGAAUUCCUGGUGUAGCGGUGAAAUGCGUAGAUAUCAGGAGGAAUACCGUUAGCGAAGGCGGCCAUCUGGCUGGAAACUGACGCUGAGGUGCGAAAGCGUGGGUAGCAAACAGGAUUAGAUACCCUAGUAGUC
This 465-nucleotide ribosomal RNA is filed under the name uncultured bacterium. RNAcentral describes it as "partial 16S ribosomal RNA". It matches the Rfam family "Bacterial small subunit ribosomal RNA", at positions 338 to 795 of the family's 1533-position model. The record is from RNAcentral.